Molecule: long non-coding RNA, 1652 nt
Organism: Dicentrarchus labrax (European seabass)
Lineage: Eukaryota; Metazoa; Chordata; Actinopteri; Moronidae
Exons: 3
Source: RefSeq, a predicted model, not a curated record
UUCAUUCAGCUGGAGACGACACACACACACAUGCGGGCCGGUGGUGGCGGGUCCUUGACGAGAGGAAACCAUGAACUCUGGGAGGAGCAGGUUCCCACACCCAGAAGAAGGGACGCACAACGCUCUAACACAAACAGUCCGCCACUCAGGAAGGAAAGGGCUCUCUUUGGGCCUUUAUCAGAUCUGCGAGAUCCUCGGCCCCGUCCGUCACCCGCUGCUGUCCGAGAGGCGGAUGAGGAAUGGCAACAAACUGAUUGAUCCUCAGCUAGCAGCAGCGCAGCAGGAGCUUCCCUCAGCUGUCUCCCGGUUGUGUAACCAGCACCUCCUUGCUGACCUCAUGGAACAUCUCUGAGGACACAACAGAGACGAAAGGAUCACGUUCACUGCAUCACCUCCCUCCCCUCAGUGCCCUCUGGCCUUCAGCCCGAUUCAGACCGAACUAAAUAUUCCCCUUUGGCCCAGAAAAGGAGGGAAAAAAACUGUUUUGUUGUGUAACUCUUGUAAUCUUAGCUUUUCCUUCACUUAACGGUUCCAUGACAGAGGUCACUUUAGUUCACAUGUUUAGUAGCCUGCAGGUAAAAUUCAGCUAAAAGGUUUACUUAACUGGAUCUCCUCUCCAGUAGUUUCAAAUAUCUGGAAACUGAUUGAAGUUAAACUCUGGAAGUUCACAGGCAAACUUUUAGAAACUCAUACCCAGAAUCUGGUGGAAAAUAUUAGAUUAUUUGGUAUGGAAACUUACAUAUAGGUAUGUACAGUUCAUACUGCACAACGUUCAGUCUUGUAAUCAGGAGUCUUGAAGUUGUUAAAGUUGCAUACUACCGUUAGAAACUGAGUACAAUAAGCUGAUAAUUAGUCUGAUAAACCAGCAUCAUUAGAACCAUUAAUCAAACAGUUAACUUAACUUUUUUAGCAUAUUUGUACAUUUAUUUAUAGGUCAUAGGCUAGCUAUAGAAAAAAGGGAAUCAGCCCUAUUAUUCAGUAUUUCUGUCACAGCAGUUAUUUAUCAGACUUUUUAAUCAACAUUUACUGUCAUCCAGGGAAAAUUAUAGGACUUAAAAAUUAACAAUCACAGCUGUUUCCCUGUAAGGUCACAUCAAAUGGCCACCGUAGGGGGAACAUGGCUUGCUCCUCAUUUGUUCAUAGGAUGGUUUAUGGUUGGAGAGCAGAGGGGAGGUCACGAUGUGCCUGAUCACUGCAGGAGACUCGGCUUCACGCUGUGAAAAUGAACAAACAACCUGUUGGAGCUUCACGGCCGAGAUACGGAGGUCCCAGCGAGGCUGCCGGACUCCCUGGCACCAGCGUCUGGCGCUGGGGAAGAUCUAUCUAGAGAUAUGAGCAGGAGAAACUCCACCCAAGAGGCCUGGUAUACACACAGACAAACCUAUUACAUCCUCUGAGCUAAUCAUUCCCCGAGACCACGACAACACAAACAUCCCCAGGACAGAAACACCAGUCUUCCUCUGACUCGCUGCUGUUUUUAGAGCUCUAAAUCUCUGGUAAAGUGACAAUCCCGAUACACACACACCUUUUUUUCAAGGCUUUUGUCUUUAAGAGAGCUGCUCUGUCUUCGAGGUCUCAUCCUGCUUAUACAACAAAUACAUGAAUAUCUUUAAACUUUCUUAAACUUUUCUUUCUAUCACAUCUAAGCUUUA